AUGAAUCCUUGUUUGCAGACUGUAAAUGCACUACAGAAAUAAAGAAAGUGUGUAUGAGAGCUGGCAGAGCAAAGGGGGCAAGCAGAGCCAAGCACCGUGAACAAGGCUCAGGGUCAUAGGGCACACAUGAUAGUGUAAUGCAGGAGGAGUGCGAGCUUUGUCACUGGGCAUUCAGGUCUUCCCUGGCAGGAGACUGCUUACGUGCCACACAGGACCCUGCCACCGUCAAGUCCACUCUCCUGCCUGUGCAGAGGUGGAAGCUGUUCCUAGGCUGAUUUGCAGCAUUAGAGGGCAGGCAGCCACAGCUGAAGGGACCAAAGACAUCAAAAACAAGCAUUUUUCAAAAACUGAAGUCAAUCAAAGGAGUAGUAGCAAUAAAGAGGAAGAUUGUUAUCAUGGGGUGAAGAUGAGGCAAUGCCAAGUAUAGUGCCGCGUACAGAGCCUGGAGCAAGAGUCUUAAAUCACAACAGAUCACAGUUUCUGAAGGGAACUCUGUUGGUGAAGAAUAAUCUUCUAUGAACUUGCUGGUGACCGGCUCUCACAUUACAAGAGUUGGCGGUUAAAACUGACGUGGAGAGUUUCUUGUACUGAUCUGGCAACGCUUUCUGCAAAAUACCAUCACAUCUCCCUUCAGCCCCAGAACUUCUGGCUGCUACGUUUUGUCUUAUCCCUCUGAUGUAUUUAAUCCCAAGUGUGACAUAAUUACAUCAUCAAUGAACUCUUUUUAAUUAACUGGCUGAGGGUAAACAUAAUUGAACUCAACUGUUUCAUAUUUUGAAGGGUGUGUACUUUUAUUUCUGCAUGAUUGUACUGGGGCAAGUGAGUUAUAAACA
Molecule: long non-coding RNA, 833 nt
Filed under: Homo sapiens (human)
Lineage: Eukaryota; Metazoa; Chordata; Mammalia; Primates; Hominidae
Description: HSALNT0120025
Source: RNAcentral